AUGCGAUUAUUGCGUUCGACUGUCAAUUACAUACAGUCCUUGGUCAUUGAGAAUUUAUUUAAUGGUACAAAGUGUUUGGUUUGCCGCCACCGCCGCCGCCUCCAUCGUUUCGCGCGAUGAUUAAACAAUUCACCGCCGCCGCCACCGCCGCCGUCGAAAGCAGGCCACCAUUCUUAGAAGAGCCAUUCUAAGGUGGGUCUCGAGAUUAAUGAUUACGAUAUAUUACCGAACCGGAAGGCGGAAGCUUUUCGAAACCCCAGAGAAGAUAUCUACGCGUACAUGCCCGCCGCCUCCGAUGGUAUUUAAAUUAAGAGAGAGUGUUUCACUUACCAACAACAGUCAAUUGAAUUGGUUUUCCGUUGACGACGAAACCAAAUGGAUCCUCCGCCUCGCACUGCCAUCUGCCGUCAUCCUCAAGACGCAC
Dalotia coriaria is the source of this 424-nucleotide long non-coding RNA. RefSeq lists it as uncharacterized. The transcript has 3 exons. NCBI's taxonomy places the organism in Eukaryota, Metazoa, Arthropoda, Insecta, Coleoptera, Staphylinidae. The record is from RefSeq and is a predicted model, not a curated record.